This 255-nucleotide ribosomal RNA is filed under the name Mallotus villosus (capelin). Its description in RNAcentral is "partial 16S ribosomal RNA". The record is from RNAcentral. Lineage: Eukaryota; Metazoa; Chordata; Actinopteri; Osmeriformes; Salangidae.
AGACGAGAAGACCCUAUGGAGCUUUAGACACUAGACAGCCCACGUUAAAAUCACCCUUCAGCGGGCGAUAAACAUUGUGACUCCUGUCUCUCCUGUCUUCGGUUGGGGCGACCGCGGAGGAUAAAAGAGCCUCCAUGUGGACCGAGGUUUACUAACCUCACAACUAAGAGCUGCAGCUCCAAGCAACAGAAAUUCUGACCAAAAUGAUCCGGCACAUGCCGAUUAACGGAACAAGUUACCCUAGGGAUAACAGCG